Cydia pomonella (codling moth) is the source of this 1749-nucleotide long non-coding RNA. RefSeq lists it as uncharacterized. The transcript is spliced from 2 exons. Lineage: Eukaryota; Metazoa; Arthropoda; Insecta; Lepidoptera; Tortricidae. The record is from RefSeq and is a predicted model, not a curated record.
AAGAUGGCUGCGAUUCCUCGAGGUCCCCAAAUGUCAAAUGGUGUGAGCAUGAAAAAGGGGCUUUUAAUUUAAAUACAUACCAAAUUUUAUGACUGUUCUAGAGAUUUCGAGGUUGGUCUUAAUCCGAUUGUGCUAUAUGAAAUUCACUUACAGUAACUUCAAAAAUCUUCAGUCAGCUGUAAUACUUCAAAAGUCACAAGUAAACUCAUGGUUAUUACGAUUACCCUCGGCUACUAUAUGAAUAUAUAUUUUAUUUAUUUAUCUAAAAACACAAUGCUACUUUUCAUUGCAUAAGCAGCGACCGAAAACCGCGUACGAUUAAUCUGCCGCCAUUAUCGCUCGUAUAAACUGCGGUUUCUUAGCUAUCUGAAUAACAAAGAAAGAAUAAGGUACAAGAAUUUAAUUUACGCGAGUUGUUGAUACGAGUAAGCAACUCGGGCGCGCACCUGUACCUGAUAACAAACAACACAUUUUUAAUAAUUGGUUUGGUCUUGUGUGUGUUAUUAAGUACAUUUUAAAUUACAUCGUUAGGCCCAUGAGUUUAAUGUAUCGGAUACCUAACCUAAAGUGCUAGAUUAUUUUUCCAGAGGUAUUCUUGUAAUGUGGUAAUAUUAAUAUUUCUUAAUUUUAGUGAUCUAGAUCCAUUUUUAGGCUUAGGUAAAUUAGCAAUUUCAUCACAUACUAUUAGCAUCAUUUUAAACUUAUAAUAGACAUAAAUUAUUUUACAGUUGUCAAAUAGCUUUGUUUUAUACAUUUUCCUUAUUCAGUUAGGUACAUUUGUUUUUAUCACGCUUAUCUGCAGUUUAUGUAUACGAUCUAGGUAGGAAGUUUUAUAAGUUCUACGAGUACUGUAAAUACUUCAGCUGUAGAGAAUAGAUUCAGCUAAUGACAUAUAACAUUUUACGGGUAAUAAAGGGUAUUUUAUACUUGAAAAGAGAUAAAUUGGACAAUAUGGAUCUCAGUUUAUUACAGACAUAAUUAAUGUGUGGGCCCUUGUUAAAUGUGUUACCUAUUAUAAGGCCAAGGUAUGUAUAUUUAUCCACUUGCUCCAAGGGUUCGCAAUCGCAUAUUUUCCUAGUAACGUGGUGUAGGUACUGGAUGAUCCUAGGUUUUAUUUGCCAUUUUUUAUGAGCGGAGUGGAUAUAAAUAACUUUUAUUUUUUCGUAGUUAAUGACUAAUCCUAAGUAUAUACUUAACAUAUUAAAGUUUUUCUGUGGGAUAUUUUUUGCUAUUUUUAUAUCGCAGUGUGCGGUCAAGAGGAAAGUGUCGUCUGCGAAUUGGCACACGAACCAUCAGAAAAUAUAUUGCACGAAUCAUUUAUGUGCAAUAAGUAUUCGGUUGGUGACAAAAUCGAGUUAUCUAAGAAUGCAAAACCUGUUAUGAGGUUGUCGGCGUGCGCAUUGUUUAUUACAUUAUUACUGAGAUUCAUAUCUGACUAGUAUAGUUGGCCGGCUGGCGGUUGGUAACGAAUAGACACAUGAUCGAUGCACGACUUAGUAAUACGGUUGCCUCUUGCUUAUACGCGUGUACUGACUGAUGCCUUAUUGUUAUAGGUUUUUUUUGCUUUAUUUAGGUAGUAUGUACUGUUGGGUGGGAUUGUUUCAAGUCUAUGUUGAUGUCAUCUAUGUACAUAAUUGUUAUUACUAAGUGGGAGGGAUAUAAUUCUUGAUAGUUCUUGCACAAAUAGGGUUUUAUGAUAAUUUUAGAUGGUCUAUACAUGAACAACACCAAUAUAUGUAUAUUAAUGCA